This 1442-nucleotide long non-coding RNA is filed under the name Theobroma cacao (cacao). RNAcentral describes it as "long non-coding RNA (TCAC_LNC000267)". Lineage: Eukaryota; Viridiplantae; Streptophyta; Magnoliopsida; Malvales; Malvaceae. The record is from RNAcentral.
AUAUUGUUUUAUAUAAAAAUGCUAUAUUUUAAUCAAUAUUUUGAAUAGUAAUUGUUUAAAACGGAAUGUUUAACAACGAUAGUACACAAGAAAGACAAGAAACUGAUACGUAAGCCUUGCGAGGUUUCGAUAGGCAUUCCGGGUAAUGAGUGUCAAUCGGGUCAUCGCGGCGAUUGUCAUGGGCUCGAGGGAGGUUCUGGGUCGUGACAAAGCUAAACCCACCAUACAAUAAAAAUUCAACAGCAUGACAUGGCAAUUUUAUCAUUAUCCAGCUUAUCAAGGCAAACAACAGUUUAUACAUUUCAACACAAAUACCAAUUCAGCCAUUCAUGCCAAUAUUGUCAUAAGCCAAUCAAUUAGAACCAUAAAUUCACAAUACAUCAAAUGGUCUCCAAUUACUCUAUUUUCAAAGCCAUUAUUCAAUUUCAAGACAAUUUUAUAAAAUCAUUUCAUUUAAACACAUUUUGCUUAUAAAACAUAAAGAUUUACCAUUUAAACUCAUUUUUCAUAAAAUCACAAAAUCGAAUAAAAACCACUUCAGAUAAUUAAGAUGAUAGUAAGGUUACUCACUAUUUCAAGAGUCGAAUUCCAAGUACUCUAAUUCUUGAUCCUCGGGUACUAUCUCUUUACUUUUGCCAAAAUCCUCAUCACCUAGACAUAAUGCACAAUAAGCCAUUUACUACAUUUGUGCUAAAUUGUUAUAAAACUAAUUCAGGCUUUAAACUAAUGUAUGAAAUGGGAUGUAAAUUGUUCGAAUUAUUGUCUAAACACAGUUUUCUACACAAAUUUAAUUGUGUACCUAAAUUAAACGGUAUUGGCCUAAUUGAUCUAUCACUCGAUUAAUUAGCCAAUAUGUCCAAUUUAACUCCAAAAAAAUUCCAUUUUUCUCCCAAUACUCCAAAUCAUCAAACACAAAUUAAAUAACUUGAAAUAUGGCAAAAAUCAUCCUCACAUUUUCUCUUGGGAAUUUCGACCAUAGUGGGUGCAUCAAUAUUAUGAUUUUUCCUACUUGAUUUUUUCACCGUAAUUCAUCAUUUCCUAACCAAUUCACUUGAAAUAAAAUCAAAAUCAUCAUCCACACUCUACAUGGAAAAUUCGGCCAAUAAUGGGUGAUGGGAGAAAAUGAAUUUUUCUUGUUUGAUUUUCAUGCUACACAUCACCAACUAACUAAAAACACUAGAAUAUCUUAAAAUCUAACCUAAACAACCAUCAAAUCUUCUCUCUCUAAAUUCGAUCAGCCAUGAAUCCUUCAUGAUAUCUUAUGAUUCAACCAUGAAAAAUGCAAAAUAAUGCAUGGGAAAGGUAGAUCACAAGUCAAAAUCAAGAAAUUUUACCUUUGAUUGCUUGAUUACUGGAAUUUUCACACUUUUCCCUUGAAUUUUUCACCCUAGGGUUCUUGUUCUUUCUUUUCUCCCUUUGUUCUUGCUAUGGCUGGCCAUGAG